AGGAGGUGAGUAGAACAUGGAUCUUUUUAAUGGCAGCCAGGCAAAGUUUCGCGCCUAUUUGUGGAUUUGUCAGGCUAUUUUUUCCGCUGUUGUUGCAAAAUUGGACCAGUCUGUCCUUUUUUACGCAACUGCAUAGGAAAAACCAUUAGGAAGAGACAUUUCUACUCGCAUACGGAUUGAGGCGGCGGAGAAUUUUCUCUGCCGUCUUUU
Molecule: small RNA, 210 nt
Filed under: Shouchella rhizosphaerae
Lineage: Bacteria; Bacillati; Bacillota; Bacilli; Caryophanales; Bacillaceae
Description: Bacillus rhizosphaerae Listeria sRNA rliI
Source: RNAcentral